Entelurus aequoreus (snake pipefish) is the source of this 1511-nucleotide long non-coding RNA. RefSeq lists it as uncharacterized. The transcript is spliced from 3 exons. The record is from RefSeq and is a predicted model, not a curated record. Lineage: Eukaryota; Metazoa; Chordata; Actinopteri; Syngnathiformes; Syngnathidae.
CUGACCUUUGACCUAUAGUUCAUGUCUGUCAAAAAUGUAUGCUCAUUUUGAUUUCUCUUCCUCUUCUGUGGGACAAAAGUGAACUUUAAGUCGUGCCAACCUGUCUAACUGAAUGUGUUGACUGUCUAAAAGAUUCGAGUUGUUAUGGAACAGAUAGGGAAAACAAAAUAAGACAUUGACGCACUAACAAGAGAGAUAAGAAAGGGAUAAAGCCAAACGAAGACAGUGUUUUGGGCACCAUCUUCUUUUCCUUGGUGACGGGCGCGCCCGGGGGGGAAACUUUCUGUGUGCUAGACAACUCAACCCAACCAUUGUACCAUUUGAUUAUGAGUAAAAUAAAACUCUUGUGUUAAAUCUACUUUGGUUCUCAUUGACAACCUGGACUUUCCACUACAAAAUUGGCGUCACGAACUAGGAUGGUCCAGAACUCUGCAAGUCAACAUCCGAUCCGGCUUCUCUCUCAGGCAGACAACGCUUGCACGCGCGCAUCUAAUAAAAGAAGGAACUUCCUGAUGUUGCCUGACAGCACGACAUCAGCUGACAACUACUGGGGACGCCUCCCAGGAAUGAGUGGAAGACGGGGACUGCUCCAACUGUCCUAGCACUGGCUGACGGAGUCACAAGAUCAGCACUUCUCAGGACCAGCAGCUUCCUAGGAAGGUGGAAAGACCAUGAGACCAAAAUGGUAAGUUUGCAAAAUGUAGAAUAUUGUGUGCCAGUUCCUCUGUGCAGAUUUGAGGAUGAAAGCAGCCACUCCAGAUUCCCUUGCACUCGCUAAGAGGGGCACGGUCAAAGCCAAUCCAGGACCAACACCCGAUACCCGACUGGAAGGAACCGAGAGGAGAGACAACACCUUGCCAGCGAUGACGAGAACAACUAACGUAGCCAGGAACGAUGCGUCCAUCGGGACUCCAGCAGCCCUGGAAGGAGGUGUCGGGAGUGCCGAAGCGGCGAGGAGGCGUUGAAGCAAGCCGAGGGCCUGGACCAAAGCCCCAACGCCCCAUACUUUGCCCCGCCUUCCCCAAAGCCCCAUACUUUUCCCCAAUUUCGGCCAGCACGGACAUGCCAUUAAACAGUCUGCCCAAUGGACUGAACCACACCCCAAGAAGAGACAGAGACAGACUGUUUGAGUGGAUCUCUUUCUUCACCAAGGCAGCCAAAAGCCCAACGAGGUGUCGGCAGGCCACCAGCCUGAGGCACCACCGAGCCAUCUAUACGAGCACUAAUCGAACAUGGACUCAUACGAAAUUCAGUUGUGUGUACAAAAUCAAUUGGUAACUACAUUCAUUGCAAAUGCCGGGAAAAAUAAUAAUGCAACAGCUUACAGUCAUAAGUCUAUAUUAAUUCUAAACCAGAUCUUGUUUGAUUCAUUAUUAAUGUGAAAAUACAUCUUGAAUAAGCAUAUAUAUAUUCAUCUAAUUAUGUUCAUGAUCAAAGUAUUUUGUUAUUACGUUACUAACUCAAAGGGUAGGCCACUAAUUGUGUUCUGUGAGAUGGUUUUACUGCAGGCU